GUCCACGCCGUAAACGAUGAAUACUAGGUGUAGGGGUUGUCAUGACCUCUGUGCCGCCGCUAACGCAUUAAGUAUUCCGCCUGGGGAGUACGGUCGCAAGAUUAAAACUCAAAGGAAUUGACGGGGGCCCGCACAAGCAGCGGAGCAUGUGGUUUAAUUCGAAGCAACGCGAAGAACCUUACCUAGACUUGACAUCUCCUGCAUUACCCUUAAUCGGGGAAGUUCCUUCGGGAACAGGAAGACAGGUGGUGCAUGGUU
RNAcentral lists this ribosomal RNA (258 nucleotides) under uncultured bacterium. RNAcentral's name for it is "partial 16S ribosomal RNA". It matches the Rfam family "Bacterial small subunit ribosomal RNA", at positions 793 to 1050 of the family's 1533-position model. The record is from RNAcentral.